AGGAUCAUUAGUGAAUUGGCCUAUGGCCUUUAAACUAUUCCAAACCACUGUGAACCGUUUGCCCUCGGGCAACAAUUUUUUUAAACAAUGUGUAAUGAAUGUAUAAUAUAUUUAACAAUAUAAAACUUUCAACAACGGAUCUCUUGGCUCUCGCAUCGAUGAAGAACGCAGCGAAAUGCGAUAAGUAAUGUGAAUUGCAGAAUUCAGUGAAUCAUCGAAUCUUUGAACGCACCUUGCGCCUUUUGGUAUUCCGAAAGGCAUGCCUGUUUGAGUGUCAUGAAAUAUCAAUCCUUGGGGUUUCCCAAAAGAUUGGAUUUGGGUGUCUGCCAUUUGCUUGGCUCACCUCAAAGGUGUCAGUGGAUAGCUCCAUUAGCUUGACGUAAUAAGUUUCGUCCUGCAAUUGGCUUUGCUGUUUGCUCAUAACAAACCAUAUUUUAUGCUCUGACCUCA
RNAcentral lists this ribosomal RNA (450 nucleotides) under Sirobasidium japonicum. RNAcentral describes it as "eukaryotic LSU rRNA". The stretch from base 124 to 277 matches the Rfam family "5.8S ribosomal RNA". The record is from RNAcentral. Lineage: Eukaryota; Fungi; Basidiomycota; Tremellomycetes; Tremellales; Sirobasidiaceae.